RNAcentral lists this ribosomal RNA (202 nucleotides) under uncultured Allobosea sp. RNAcentral describes it as "uncultured Bosea sp. partial 16S ribosomal RNA". It matches the Rfam family "Bacterial small subunit ribosomal RNA", at positions 137 to 354 of the family's 1533-position model. Lineage: Bacteria; Pseudomonadati; Pseudomonadota; Alphaproteobacteria; Hyphomicrobiales; Alloboseaceae. The record is from RNAcentral.
UUCGGAAUAACUCAGGGAAACUUGAACUAAUACCGGAUACGCCCUUCGGGGAAAGAUUUAUCGCCGAAAGAUCGGCCCGCGUCUGAUUAGCUAGUUGGUGAGGUAAUGGCUCACCAAGGCGACGAUCAGUAGCUGGUCUGAGAGGAUGAUCAGCCACAUUGGGACUGAGACACGGCCCAAACUCCUACGGGAGGCAGCAGGG